Molecule: long non-coding RNA, 704 nt
Filed under: Marmota monax (woodchuck)
Lineage: Eukaryota; Metazoa; Chordata; Mammalia; Rodentia; Sciuridae
Source: RNAcentral
UGAUGAUUGAACCCAGGACACUGUACCAGUGAGCCACAUCCCCAGCCCUUUUUAUUUCUUAUUUUAAGAAAGGUUCUCACUAAGUUGCUUAGGGCCUCACUAAGUUUCUAAGGCUGGCCUCAAACUUGCAAUCCUCCUGCCUCAGGCUCCUGAGUUGCUGGGAUUACAGGUGUGUGUUAUCAUAUCGGGAAAGCUGUGAUUUUAAAUUUAACAUUUUGAACACAUUUUCACAUGCAUAAACAAGAAAUUGAGCAAUCAUUCUUAAUGAUUUCACUGUAACCCAGUAUAUGAAUGUAGCCUCCUGGGUUUGUCUCUGGUUUUUAAUCAAGAUAGAAGAUACUAUAAUGGACAUCCUCAUGAUUAAACCUUUCUGCAGAACUUGGAGCACUUCCUUAUGACAGAUUCCUAGAAGUGGAUUUGCUGAGUUGAAGAAUAAGCAGCUUUUACGUCUUUUGCUAUCCAUCUUCUAGAAAGGUUAAACCAGUGUACAUUCCCACCAGAAGGGUACAGAGGAUAUGCUACUUCCUACUCUCCUUGACCUGAGAUUACCAUUCUUUUAAAUAAAGAUUUAAAAUCUUGGGAGUGAAAAAUAGAAUAUCCCAAUUGCUUUUCUGUGUAUUUCUCUGUUUAUCAGAGUUAAAAUUAUUUCCUAUGUGUUUCUUAUUUUGUGAUUCACGUGACCAUUUUCUCCCUCUUUGGAGUGU